This 253-nucleotide ribosomal RNA is filed under the name uncultured bacterium. Its description in RNAcentral is "partial 16S ribosomal RNA". It matches the Rfam family "Bacterial small subunit ribosomal RNA", at positions 524 to 776 of the family's 1533-position model. The record is from RNAcentral.
UACGAAGGGGGCUAGCGUUGCUCGGAAUCACUGGGCGUAAAGGGUGCGUAGGCGGGUUUUUAAGUCAGAGGUGAAAUCCUGGAGCUCAACUCCAGAACUGCCUUUGAUACUGAAAGUCUUGAGCAUGGGAGAGGUGAGUGGAACUGCGAGUGUAGAGGUGAAAUUCGUAGAUAUUCGCAAGAACACCAGUGGCGAAGGCGGCUCACUGGCCCAUUACUGACGCUGAGGCACGAAAGCGUGGGGAGCAAACAGG